UUUAGAGUUUGAUCCCUGGCUCAGGAUGAACGCUAGCGGCAGGCUUAAUACAUGCAAGUCGAGGGGCAGCACGGGUAGCAAUACCUGGUGGCGACCGGCGCACGGGUGCGUAACGCGUAUGCAACCUACCUUUAACUGGGGCAUAGCUCCGAGAAAUCGGGAUUAAUUCCCCAUAACAUUCACUUGAGGCAUCUCAUAUGAAUUAAAGUUUUAACGGUUAAAGAUGGGCAUGCGUGACAUUAGCUAGUUGGUGAGGUAACGGCUCACCAAGGCUACGAUGUCUAGGGGUUCUGAGAGGAUGAUCCCCCACACUGGUACUGAGACACGGACCAGACUCCUACGGGAGGCAGCAGUAGGGAAUAUUGGGCAAUGGACGAAAGUCUGACCCAGCCAUGCCGCGUGCAGGAUUGACGGCCCUAUGGGUUGUAAACUGCUUUUCUGCAGGAAGAACCCCCCGAUCGUGAUCGGGGCUGACGGUACUGCAGGAAUAAGCACC
RNAcentral lists this ribosomal RNA (496 nucleotides) under uncultured bacterium. RNAcentral's name for it is "bacterial SSU rRNA". It matches the Rfam family "Bacterial small subunit ribosomal RNA", at positions 1 to 494 of the family's 1533-position model. The record is from RNAcentral.